GAUGAACGUUGGCGGCGUGCCUAACACAUGCAAGUCGAACGCUAGUAGCAAUAUUAGAGUGGCGCACGGGUGAGUAACACGUAGCUUAUCUACCUCCCAGCGCGGGAUAACGGUUCGAAAGAACUGCUAAUACCGCAUAAGCUCACGAGCUAUAGAGGCUGGUGAGAAAAGGCUUAGGUCACUGGGAGCGGGGGCUGCGGCCCAUCAGCUAGUUGGUGAGGAACGGCUUACCAAGGCGACGACGGGUAGGGGACCUGAGAGGGUGACCCCCCACACUGGGAC
RNAcentral lists this ribosomal RNA (282 nucleotides) under uncultured bacterium. Its description in RNAcentral is "partial 16S ribosomal RNA". It matches the Rfam family "Bacterial small subunit ribosomal RNA", at positions 28 to 319 of the family's 1533-position model. The record is from RNAcentral.